RNAcentral lists this ribosomal RNA (476 nucleotides) under uncultured bacterium. RNAcentral describes it as "bacterial SSU rRNA". It matches the Rfam family "Bacterial small subunit ribosomal RNA", at positions 28 to 507 of the family's 1533-position model. The record is from RNAcentral.
GAUGAACGCUGGCGGCGUGCUUAACACAUGCAAGUCGAACGAAGAUGCCGGAGUGCUUGCACUUUGGCAGACUGAGUGGCGGACGGGUGAGUAACGCGUGGGUAACCUGCCUUAUACAGGGGGAUAACAGUUGGAAACGACUGCUAAUACCGCAUAAGCGCACGGUAUCGCAUGAUACAGUGUGAAAAACUCCGGUGGUAUAAGAUGGACCCGCGUCUGAUUAGCUUGUUGGUGAGGUUAAACGGGCCCCACCAAGGCGACGAUCAGUAGCCGACCUGAGAGGGUGACCGGCCACAUUGGGACUGAGACACGGCCCAAACUCCUACGGGAGGCAGCAGUGGGGAAUAUUGCACAAUGGGGGAAACCCUGAUGCAGCGACGCCGCGUGAGCGAAGAAGUAUUUCGGUAUGUAAAGCUCUAUCAGCAGGGAAGAAAAAAAUGACGGUACCUGACUAAGAAGCCCCGGCUAACUACGUG